AAGGGCACCACAAGAACGCGUGGAGCAUGUGGCUUAAUUUGACUCAACGCGGGAAAUCUUACCGGGUCCGGACACACUGAGGAUUGACAGGCAAUAUUAAAAGAAAAAUUUUAAUUUUCGGAUUAAAUAUUUUUUUUUAUGUUAAAUAUGCUAGUCCUUUCAUGAUUAUGUGAUAGGUGGUGCAUGGCCGUUCUUAGUUCGUGGAGUGAUCUGUCUGCUUAAUUGCGUUUCACUAAGGGCUUAUAAAUUACGUGUGCUGUGGGUACCUUGACCCCUAUAUUGAAAUAUAUAUAGUGCGUGUCUCGGUUUGCUUUCACUCACACAAUUAAGUCCUGAAAGCAACGAACGUGACCGCAACCUCUUGUUGCCUCUAAACCAAACGGUAAUUUAUAAUUAAAAUUUAUUUUUUAGUUUUUAUUGCUAAAAAGAGGCUUUUUAAACUAGAGGGACCGCUGUAAUCUUUUUAAACCAGAGGAAGGUUGCGGCAGUAACAGGUCUGUGAUGCCCUUAGAUGUUCCGGGCUGCACACGUGCUACAAUGAUUAUUGCAGUGAGCAUCUCAUUUAUUAUACACCGCAUGCAUGAGUCCAGUUUGCCUAAAUUUUAGUCUUCGGGCGAAGGAUUUAGUGUUAAACUGUGUUACUUUAUGCGCGGUAAAGCCUGCUUCGAAAGUAAGCGGGUAAUCAAUUAGAAGUAAUGAUUUCCCAAUUUAUAGCACACAUAUAUACGGCAUUUUUACCCGGAUUAAGCUUGUCUUAAUUUUUGUGUGUAAUAAUGUUUUUUCCGUAUGUGCAAUUGUCAAUUCAUGGUGGGGACAGACCAUUGUUAAUUGUUGGUCUCGGUCUUAACUAGGAAUGCCUUGUACGGGUCUUGGUUCAACAAACCACCCGGAAUACGUCCCUGCCCUUUGUACACACCGCCCGUCGCUCUUACCGAUGGACUUCUCUGUGAGUUUGAGGGACUGGGUAUUAAGAAAAAAUUUAUUUUAUCUUUACCACCUAUGGGAACUUAAACGAACAGUGUGGUCUAAAGGAAAGAGAAGUCGUAACAAGGCUUCAGUAGGUGAACCU
RNAcentral lists this ribosomal RNA (1069 nucleotides) under Spiroplectammina sp. RNAcentral describes it as "bacterial SSU rRNA". It matches the Rfam family "Eukaryotic small subunit ribosomal RNA", at positions 1160 to 1816 of the family's 1831-position model. Lineage: Eukaryota; Foraminifera; Textulariida; Sproplectamminidae. The record is from RNAcentral.